This 448-nucleotide ribosomal RNA is filed under the name uncultured bacterium. Its description in RNAcentral is "bacterial SSU rRNA". It matches the Rfam family "Bacterial small subunit ribosomal RNA", at positions 28 to 458 of the family's 1533-position model. The record is from RNAcentral.
GAUGAACGCUGGCGGCGUGCUUAACACAUGCAAGUCGAGCGAAGCACUUAAGUCUGAUUCUUCGGAUGAAGACUUUUGUGACUGAGCGGCGGACGGGUGAGUAACGCGUGGGUAACCUGCCUCAUACAGGGGGAUAACAGUUAGAAAUGACUGCUAAUACCGCAUAAGACCACGGUACCGCAUGGUACAGUGGUAAAAACUCCGGUGGUAUGAGAUGGACCCGCGUCUGAUUAGGUAGUUGGUGGGGUAACGGCCUACCAAGCCGACGAUCAGUAGCCGACCUGAGAGGGUGACCGGCCACAUUGGGACUGAGACACGGCCCAGACUCCUACGGGAGGCAGCAGUGGGGAAUAUUGCACAAUGGAGGAAACUCUGAUGCAGCGACGCCGCGUGAAGGAUGAAGUAUUUCGGUAUGUAAACUUCUAUCAGCAGGGAAGAAAAUGACGGU